AGUAACACGUGGGUAACCUGCCCGGAAGUGGGGAAUACCUCGGGGAAACUCGAGCUAAUACCGCAUGACAUCUUUGGGACGAGAGUCCUGACGAUCAAAGCGGGGUCGCAAGAUCUCGCGCUACCGGAUGGGCCCGCGCCCGAUUAGCUAGUUGGCGAGGUAAUGGCUCACCAAGGCUUCGAUCGGUAACCGGCCUGAGAGGGCGAUCGGUCACACCGGAACUGAGACACGGUCCGG
This 237-nucleotide ribosomal RNA is filed under the name uncultured bacterium. RNAcentral describes it as "partial 16S ribosomal RNA". It matches the Rfam family "Bacterial small subunit ribosomal RNA", at positions 109 to 334 of the family's 1533-position model. The record is from RNAcentral.